GAUGAAGAACGCAGCGAAAUGCGAUAAGUAGUGUGAAUUGCAGAAUUCAGUGAAUCAUCGAAUCUUUGAACGCACAUUGCGCCCUUUGGUAUUCCGAAGGGCAUGCCUGUUCGAGCGUCAUUAUCACCCCUCAAGCCCUCGGCUUGGUGUUGGACGGUUUGGUGGAGGCCCCCUCGGGGGCUCCUGCCCCUCCCAAAGACAAUGACGGCGGCCUCGUUGGACCCCCGGUACACUGAGUUCUUCACGGGACACGUAUCGGACACAUGGGUUUACGGGACACGGUCUGCCUCCCCUCAGGGAGAAUCUUUCUAAGGUUGACCUCGGAUCAGGUAGGGAUACCCGCUGAACUUAAGCAUAUCAAUAAGCGGAGGA
RNAcentral lists this unclassified non-coding RNA (372 nucleotides) under soil metagenome. Its description in RNAcentral is "partial contains 5.8S ribosomal RNA, internal transcribed spacer 2, and large subunit ribosomal RNA". The stretch from base 1 to 120 matches the Rfam family "5.8S ribosomal RNA", at positions 35 to 154 of the family's 154-position model. The record is from RNAcentral.